RNAcentral lists this small RNA (439 nucleotides) under Malus domestica (apple). RNAcentral's name for it is "sRNA MD16G0034400". Lineage: Eukaryota; Viridiplantae; Streptophyta; Magnoliopsida; Rosales; Rosaceae. The record is from RNAcentral.
AUGAGAUUCAUAUGCAAUUUAAGGUUGCUAGGUUGGUGAAAAUCUGAAAAUUGACCCAAUUUUGUAUAAUAUAUUAGUUUAAGAACAAUAAACAUACAAGCCCACACACACACACACACACAUAUGCACUCCAAAAGUAAACGAGUUGGAAAUGUUUCGUAAUAUUUUCCUCUGAAUCUUCUUUAGCAUGCAUAAGAUUUACCAUUUCCUUUUAAAUAACUUUUAAAAUCAGCUCUAGUCCAUGUUUGCUUAACAAUGUUGUAUCAUUAUAUAAUUUCACAAAGUUUGUGCAUAAUUCUUGCUGAACUUGGUUUGCUUUUCUUUAAUUUAGGUAUGGAGUGAGCAAAUCACGGUUCGACCAAGUCUUCAACGAUGAAUUGAGUCAGAUCAUUAAGCUACCAGUUUGUUGUUUGGCACUGUAAAUGUACAAUCGGAAAAA